RNAcentral lists this ribosomal RNA (168 nucleotides) under Acanthocybium solandri (wahoo). RNAcentral's name for it is "partial 12S rRNA". The record is from RNAcentral. Lineage: Eukaryota; Metazoa; Chordata; Actinopteri; Scombriformes; Scombridae.
CACCGCGGUUAUACGAGAGGCCCAAGUUGACAGACAUCGGCGUAAAGCGUGGUUAAGGAAAAUUUAAACUAAAGCCGAACACCUUCAGGGCAGUUAUACGCAUCCGAAGGCACGAAGCCCCACCACGAAAGUGGCUUUAUGACUCCUGACCCCACGAAAGCUAUGACA